RNAcentral lists this ribosomal RNA (243 nucleotides) under uncultured Actinomycetales bacterium. Its description in RNAcentral is "partial 16S ribosomal RNA". It matches the Rfam family "Bacterial small subunit ribosomal RNA", at positions 88 to 334 of the family's 1533-position model. The record is from RNAcentral. Lineage: Bacteria; Bacillati; Actinomycetota; Actinomycetes; Actinomycetales.
UACUCGAGUGGCGAACGGGUGAGUAACACGUGGGUGAUCUGCCCUGCACUUCGGGAUAAGCUUGGGAAACUGGGUCUAAUACCGGAUAGGAACCAUCUUUAGUGUGGUGGUUGGAAAGUUUUUUCGGUGUAGGAUGAGCUCGCGGCCUAUCAGCUUGUUGGUGGGGUAAUGGCCUACCGAGGCGGCGACGGGUAGCCGGCCUGAGAGGGUGUACGGCCACAUUGGGACUGAGAUACGGCCCAG